AUACGGAGGAUCCGAGCGUUAUCCGGAUUUAUUGGGUUUAAAGGGAGCGUAGGUGGAUUGUUAAGUCAGUUGUGAAAGUUUGCGGCUCAACCGUAAAAUUGCAGUUGAAACUGGCAGUCUUGAGUACAGUAGAGGUGGGCGGAAUUCGUGGUGUAGGGGUGAAAUGCUUAGAUAUCACGAAGAACUCCGAUUGCGAAGGCAGCUCACUGGACUGCAACUGACACUGAGGCUCGAAAGUGUGGGUAUCAAACAGGAUUAGAUACCCUGGUAGUCCACACAGUAAACGAUGAAUACUCGCUGUUUGCGAUAUACAGCAAGCGGCCAAGCGAAAGCAUUAAGUAUUCCACCUGGGGAGUACGCCGGCAACGGUGAAACUCAAAUGAAUUGACGGGG
Molecule: ribosomal RNA, 393 nt
Filed under: uncultured bacterium
Lineage: Bacteria
Description: partial 16S ribosomal RNA
Rfam family: Bacterial small subunit ribosomal RNA
Source: RNAcentral